AUCCCAUGAUAAGGACACUUACGAAGUAACUCCUUAAAUUGCUCCUAAGCCUCAUACAAAGACUCAUCAUCCAAUUGUUGGAAAGUUGUGAUCGCGUUCCUUAACUU
RNAcentral lists this small nucleolar RNA (107 nucleotides) under Gossypium hirsutum (cotton). Its description in RNAcentral is "Plant small nucleolar RNA R71". It matches the Rfam family "Plant small nucleolar RNA R71". Rfam says of the family: R71 is a member of the C/D box family of snoRNAs containing the C (UGAUGA) and D (CUGA) box motifs. The record is from Rfam by way of RNAcentral. Lineage: Eukaryota; Viridiplantae; Streptophyta; Magnoliopsida; Malvales; Malvaceae. RNAcentral also lists the same sequence under 1 other name.